CUUCAUGACUGACACCUCUCUGAUUCCAGCUGUGAACAUCAGACCAAACACAACUCACUAAACGUUUCCAUACUGAACAACCACAGCUUUCCCCUCUGUGAACAUGGAGAAACUGGCUGCAAUUCUGCUCUGUUCAGCUCUCAUAGGUAACAGCUUGGAAGAUGCUAUUACUGCCAUCAGUGCUGAAGUGUGUUCCUCAGAGGGCCGUAGUGUUACUCUGUCCUGUACAUAUUCAGUUCAAGCUAAUAAUCUCCAGUGGUACAGACAGGAUCCUGGAUCAGCUCCUCAGUUCCUCCUCCUGAUCACUGACACAACACAGCCUUACGUGGUGGAAGCAGAACCUCCAAUCCCUGGACUGAAAGCCACACUGAACAAGGAGAAAAAACAAGUGGAUCUGCAGAUCUCCUCUGCUGCAGUGACAGACUCUGCUGUGUACUACUGUGCUCUGAAGCCCACAGUGACAGGAAACACCAACACUCUGUACAAAAACCUCUGGAGCACAGACAACACAAUACUGCACAGCAUCCACCAGAGGGAGUCUCUCUCUGUCAGACUUUAG
Gymnodraco acuticeps is the source of this 559-nucleotide non-coding RNA. The record is from the annotation of a RefSeq genome assembly. NCBI's taxonomy places the organism in Eukaryota, Metazoa, Chordata, Actinopteri, Perciformes, Bathydraconidae.